This 1324-nucleotide long non-coding RNA is filed under the name Rattus norvegicus (Norway rat). Its description in RNAcentral is "long non-coding RNA NONRATT007441". Lineage: Eukaryota; Metazoa; Chordata; Mammalia; Rodentia; Muridae. The record is from RNAcentral.
UUUGUUUUGUUUUUCUGUAGCACCACAAGGUCAGUCGUGCUGUGAAAAUGGUCCCAAAGGUCCAAUGGUGGUGCUCAGCAUGACCAGGGAAGCACUUGCUUUUUGUGGGUGCCCAUGGGCUCUUCUUGCUAGGACCCGGGAGAGCAGGUCUGAGCCUCUGCCUUGGGUCAGCUGGCCAUAUAACAUACACAGGCACACACAGGCACACGUACACACGUACACACAUGCAUGCAUGCACAAAUGCUGUAUACAUAUUCGUUCCUUCCUUCCUCCAUGAAACUAGACCAGACAGCUGGGCCCUGUCUACCGAGGUGGUUUUCUGUUUCUCCGUCUCACCUGAAGCAUGUUUUCCUAAUGAUGAACAAAUGUCGCAGCCUGCCAAGUUACAGCGGGGCAUCAUGGGAACGGUGCUUGCUUUCUCUCUGCACUGCAGACUCCUGUCUCUUCUCUUGCAGAAGGUGAUGUUCGUCCUCAUCUGUGUAGUCACUUUGCUUGUGAUCCUUGGAAUUAUUCUAGCAACAGCAUUGUCAUAGCAACCGCACCCCAAGAGCUCUUUGUCCUCAGAGACUCUGACCACACCUGCAGCAUGGCCGGCGUGAACCUCAGACCCCAGGGCUAGCGCAGAGCGCUGAGGUUUUUAUUGGUGAUGGAGAAUAAAGCGCCACAGAGGUCUCAUACCAUGAAACACCGUGAGCCCCGUGGAUGCGACAUGCCAGCCCAGAGGGCCUGGGUCUCUCUGAAGGACACCACCGAGAUUUCACAAUGGUGGCCUUGCCUCAGUGGCUUUGAAAUAGGAAUGAUCGAGAAAGUCUUAACUUUUAAAGAUGACGCCAGUGUUAAAAUGUACGUUGUGUUUAAUUAGGGUGUGCUCUGUGCUCUCGGCCGACAGUGCUGACGAAGAGACUUCGUGCCAGGCCUGAUCUCUGUUCGUGUCUUGUUUGCAGAAUCAUCACAGAACUGUGUUUUUGUAAGGCACCUGUAAUUUUAAGUAUCUGUAAGUUAAGUUCCUUAAUAUAUUAACAUCUAAACUCCCUUUUCUAAGCUAGACACUGCCUUGUGAAGGACAAUGGGCCAGCCCUAGGCAGCCAUGUCGAGGUUGCUGUUGUCCCUGAAAACAUGGCCUCGCAGCCCCUCAGGGCCCUUCUUCAGUGCCUUCUGGUGACCCUGACUAGGAAGUGUAAGGGUCUGAAGAGGUGACAAGCGGCCACACGCUGCACUCGUGUUGCUCUUCCUUGUUCACUCAUGGUAAUGGAGUCUCGGCGACAAAGAUGGAGGCGAGACUUGGUGCUCACUAGACUCUAGGGAACCGUCCCGGGCACAAAGC